Molecule: ribosomal RNA, 479 nt
Filed under: Streptococcus sp. oral taxon 064
Lineage: Bacteria; Bacillati; Bacillota; Bacilli; Lactobacillales; Streptococcaceae
Description: bacterial SSU rRNA
Rfam family: Bacterial small subunit ribosomal RNA
Source: RNAcentral
GACGAACGCUGGCGGCGUGCCUAAUACAUGCAAGUAGAACGCUGAAGGAGGAGCUUGCUCUUCUGAAUGAGUUGCGAACGGGUGAGUAACGCGUAGGUAACCUGCCUGGUAGCGGGGGAUAACUAUUGGAAACGAUAGCUAAUACCGCAUAAGAGUAGAUGUUGCAUGACAUUUGCUUAAAAGGUGCAAUUGCACCACUACCAGAUGGACCUGCGUUGUAUUAGCUAGUUGGUGGGGUAACGGCUCACCAAGGCGACGAUACAUAGCCGACCUGAGAGGGUGAUCGGCCACACUGGGACUGGGACACGGCCCAGACUCCUACGGGAGGCAGCAGUAGGGAAUCUUCGGCAAUGGACGGAAGUCUGACCGAGCAACGCCGCGUGAGUGAAGAAGGUUUUCGGAUCGUAAAGCUCUGUUGUAAGAGAAGAACGAGUGUGAGAGUGGAAAGUUCACACUGUGACGGUAUCUUACCAGAAAGG